This 681-nucleotide long non-coding RNA is filed under the name Marmota monax (woodchuck). The record is from RNAcentral. Lineage: Eukaryota; Metazoa; Chordata; Mammalia; Rodentia; Sciuridae.
UUAGAAUAAUAAGUAAUAUCAAAAAUUCAGAAAGUCCUUACUCUUUUGAGUGAGGGAAGUGGGAACAGACAGACUAUGCUAAAGAUGUUUAUUAUUUAUUCUGUAAGUUCUGGCAGCCCAAAUUACUGAUUUUUAGAUUUAUUAUGCCCAGGGACAAGGUAUUAACAUAUACUCUUGUACUAGAUGCUUUGCUGUAAAGCUAUAGGCCCACAAUCCCUUAUUCAUAUAAUUUUGAAACCCAGAAAACUUUUUUUUUAAGAGUUUUCCUUCAGCUUCCUUGGUGUGACCCAAACUAAUUUGGGAGAAAAAUGUGACCUGAAUCUGUGCUGAGGUGAGGCUAUUUUUAUCCUAUCCCAUUUAAUGUUAAUAUUCCAGAGUUUUCAUGUAGAUAUAUUGUGAUUACAGGAUGCUAACUCAUUCUCUUGGAGAGAGUUACGUUAUAUAUUAUAGAUACCACAUUAUUGCUCUAAACCUUGACAAAUUGUGAACUCAUAAAAUACUUUGUUCUAUGGUUUCACUAGAAUUAGUAAAAAUGGUAAGAGAAUCAUACCUCCCAGAAAUGUAAUAUUCUUAUGUAUAAUAGUGUGUUCUAGAAACCGAAACCCUGAGAUUAAUCUUUUGUUGAGCAACAGUACUAUUUGGAACCAAUAAGAGGACUUUGCAUAUAACAUUGCAAAGCAU